AAGUUAUGUUGAGGUCAAUUUCGUAACAUUUCCUUAUAGUGCUCCCAUGCAUCAUAUAAUGACUCCCCAUCCUUUUAUUGGAAAGUUGGUGAUGUUCCUUUUCAACUU
Lactuca sativa (garden lettuce) is the source of this 108-nucleotide small nucleolar RNA. The record is from RefSeq and is a predicted model, not a curated record. NCBI's taxonomy places the organism in Eukaryota, Viridiplantae, Streptophyta, Magnoliopsida, Asterales, Asteraceae.